GCAGUCGAGCGAACAGAUAAGGAGCUUGCUCCUUUGAAGUUAGCGGCGGACGGGUGAGUAACACGUGGGUAACCUACCUAUAAGACUGGGAUAACUUCGGGAAACCGGAGCUAAUACCGGAUAACAUUUAGAACCGCAUGGUUCUAAAGUGAAAGAUGGUUUUGCUAUCACUUAUAGAUGGACCCGCGCCGUAUUAGCUAGUUGGUAAGGUAACGGCUUACCAAGGCGACGAUACGUAGCCGACCUGAGAGGGUGAUCGGCCACACUGGAACUGAGACACGGUCCAGACUCCUACGGGAGGCAGCAGUAGGGAAUCUUCCGCAAUGGGCGAAAGCCUGACGGAGCAACGCCGCGUGAGUGAUGAAGGGUUUCGGCUCGUAAAACUCUGUUAUUAGGGAAGAACAAAUGUGUAAGUAACUGUGCACAUCUUGACGGUACCUAAUCAGAAAGCCACGGCUAACUACGUGCCAGCAGCCGCGGUAAUACGUAGGUGGCAAGCGUUAUCCGGAAUUAUUGGGCGUAAAGCGCGCGUAGGCGGUUUCUUAAGUCUGAUGUGAAAGCCCACGGCUCAACCGUGGAGGGUCAUUGGAAACUGGGAAACUUGAGUGCAGAAGAGGAAAGUGGAAUUCCAUGUGUAGCGGUGAAAUGCGCAGAGAUAUGGAGGAACACCAGUGGCGAAGGCGACUUUCUGGUCUGUAACUGACGCUGAUGUGCGAAAGCGUGGGGAUCAAAACAGGAUUAGAUACCCUGGUAGUCCACGCCGUAAACGAUGAGUGCUAAGUGUUAGGGGGUUUCCGCCCCUUAGUGCUGCAGCUAACGCAUUAAGCACUCCGCCUGGGGAGUACGACCGCAAGGUUGAAACUCAAAGGAAUUGACGGGGACCCGCACAAGCGGUGGAGCAUGUGGUUUAAUUCGAAGCAACGCGAAGAACCUUACCAAAUCUUGACAUCCUUUGAAAACUCUAGAGAUAGAGCCUUCCCCUUCGGGGGACAAAGUGACAGGUGGUGCAUGGUUGUCGUCAGCUCGUGUCGUGAGAUGUUGGGUUAAGUCCCGCAACGAGCGCAACCCUUAAGCUUAGUUGCCAUCAUUAAGUUGGGCACUCUAGGUUGACUGCCGGUGACAAACCGGAGGAAGGUGGGGAUGACGUCAAAUCAUCAUGCCCCUUAUGAUUUGGGCUACACACGUGCUACAAUGGACAAUACAAAGGGCAGCUAAACCGCGAGGUCAUGCAAAUCCCAUAAAGUUGUUCUCAGUUCGGAUUGUAGUCUGCAACUCGACUACAUGAAGCUGGAAUCGCUAGUAAUCGUAGAUCAGCAUGCUACGGUGAAUACGUUCCCGGGUCUUGUACACACCGCCCG
This 1358-nucleotide ribosomal RNA is filed under the name Staphylococcus xylosus. Its description in RNAcentral is "bacterial SSU rRNA". It matches the Rfam family "Bacterial small subunit ribosomal RNA", at positions 57 to 1396 of the family's 1533-position model. The record is from RNAcentral. Lineage: Bacteria; Bacillati; Bacillota; Bacilli; Caryophanales; Staphylococcaceae.